RNAcentral lists this long non-coding RNA (435 nucleotides) under Elaeis guineensis (African oil palm). RNAcentral describes it as "long non-coding RNA (EGUI_LNC048531)". The record is from RNAcentral. Lineage: Eukaryota; Viridiplantae; Streptophyta; Magnoliopsida; Arecales; Arecaceae.
UUGGGAAAUCAUUUGACAUCCAGUAUUUAGAUUAAUAAGCAUAAAAGAACUCUGGGUGUAGUUGCCUUAGGUUACAUGACGCAUACUUUGCUAUUGUCAGCAUAAAUCAAAACCAGUUAAACAGCAUACCCAUCUGCUGAUAUAACCAAAUCUAAUCUUUUUUGGUUAUGUUGUUAUUACGUUAACUCUUAAUUGAUCUAGGCCUAAAUGUAGUUUGGGAAUUUUAGAAGGGAUCCAAUAUAUUUGGAUAAAAUUUAAUUACGGACAUCAUUAAGAGUUACAGCAGACAACAAUGCUAGCUAUUAUUAAAUGGAUCUGCAUGGAUAAAACGUUGCUUUCAGGCAACCCAUCAGAGUGACAUGAGUCCCCUAGUUGGAUGCUAAAAGAUAAUGGAUGACUUAGCCAUGACAACGAUUACACAUACAAUGCGCAAAG